This 268-nucleotide long non-coding RNA is filed under the name Lathyrus oleraceus (garden pea). RNAcentral describes it as "Pisum sativum (pea) long non-coding RNA (PSAT_LNC007173)". Lineage: Eukaryota; Viridiplantae; Streptophyta; Magnoliopsida; Fabales; Fabaceae. The record is from RNAcentral.
AGGAUCGAUUGAAAUUGAAUGGCACAGUUGGGUUUGCAAAGCACUCUUAGGGUUUAUAUGAGAGGGAAUUGGUUCUUUGCCGAUGAGUUCCCUUCGGUCUCUGGAGGUUGCUCUGAGCUCUGUUUGCUCUUCUCUCACUAUCUUUUUCCCUGCCAGGGUAAUAGGAAUAGAAUGGCCUUUUGUUUCACUGAAACUCUGAAUUUAUAACUUGAUUUUUGUGGACCUGUGGGUACAAAUGAGAGAGGCCCAAGUCCAAAAAUUUUCUGUU